CGGCUGGCGGCGAUGGCGGCCGUACGGGGCCUGCGGGUGUCGGUGAAGGCAGAGGCCCCGGCGGGGCCGGCCCUGGGGCUCCCACUGCCGGAGACGGAGUCAGCUUUGGAACGUGGCGAGCCGGAGCCUAUGGAGGUGGAGGAGGGCGAGUUGGAGAUCGUGCCUGUGCGGCGCUCGCUGAAGGAGUUGAUCCCGGACACAAGCAGAAGAUACGAAAACAAGGCUGGCAGCUUCAUCACUGGAAUUGAUGUCACCUCCAAGGAAGCAAUUGAAAAGAAAGAACAACGAGCCAAGAGGUUCCAUUUUCGAUCUGAAGUAAAUCUUGCCCAAAGAAAUGUGGCCUUGGACCGAGACAUGAUGAAGAAAGCUAUCCCCAAAGUGAGACUGGAGACCAUCUAUAUUUGUGGGGUAGAUGAGAUGAGUACCCAAGACAUCUUUGCCUAUUUUAAGGAAUACCCUCCAGCUCACAUCGAAUGGCUAGAUGAUACCUCCUGCAAUGUGGUUUGGCUGGAUGAAAUGACAGCCACACGAGCCCUGAUCAACAUGAGCUCUCUUCCAGCCGUGGAUAAGACAAGAAGCAGAGAUGUCAGUGAAGACAAGUCAUCUGAGAAAAGUAAAAAAGACAAGCAAGAAGAUAGUUCUGAUGAUGAGGCCGAAGAAGGAGAAGUUGAAGAUGAAAACACAAGUGAUGUAGAGUUGGACAUGUUGUCUCAGGUAGAAGAGGAGUCCCUGCUCAGAAAUGAUCUUCGUCCAGCUAACAGACUUGCUAAAGGAAACAAGUUAUUCAUGAGAUUUGCUACAAAAGAUGACAAAAAGGAACUUGGAGCAGCCAGAAGAAGUCAGUAUUACAUGAAAUAUGGAAAUCCAAAUUAUGGAGGCAUGAAAGGAAUUCUUAGUAAUUCUUGGAAGCGGAGAUAUCAUUCCCGUCGCAUUCAGCGGGAUGUGAUCAAGAAGCGAGCCCUGAUUGGGGACGAUCUCGGCUUGGCGUCCUAUAAGCACCGACAUUCCGGACUAGUUAAUGUUCCCGAGGAGCCUAUUGAAGAGGAGGAAGAGGAAGAGGAGGAGGAGGAGGACCAGGACAUGGAUGCAGAUGACAGGGUGGUGGUAGAGUACCAUGAGGAACUCCCAGCUCUCAGGCAGACCAGGGAGAGGAGUGCAUCAAGGAGGUCCAGUGCUAGCAGCUCCGACUCUGAUGAAAUGGACUAUGAUCUAGAAUUGAAAAUGAUUUCUACUCCUUCCCCAAAGAAAAGCAUGAAGAUGACGAUGUAUGCAGAUGAAGUAGAGUCUCAGUUAAAAAACAUCAGGAACUCCAUGAAGGCAGAUACUGUAUCUACAAGCAAUAUAAAAAACCGAAUUGGUAACAAAUUACCAGCUGAGAAAUUUGCAGAUGUUCGACAUCUAUUAGAUGAAAAACGCCAGCACACACGGCCACGGCUCCAAGGCAGCAAUACUAAAUCAGAUGUACGCCAGCGAUUAGGAAAAAGACCACAUUCUCCAGAAAAGUCUUUUAGUAGUAAUGCAGUGGUUCGAAGAGAGCCCUUUUCUGACGUGCACAGUAGGCUCGGUGUUCCCAGGCAAGACAUUAAAGGCCUCUACUCUGAUACCCGGGAAAAGAAAUCAGGUAGUUUAUGGACUCGCUUAGGAUCUGCACCCAAGACCAAAGAAAAGAGCAUGAAGAAAGUGGAUCACAGGGUGCCUGGCACUGAGGAAGAUGACUCCGAGCUGCAAAGGGCAUGGGGGGCUCUGAUUAAGGAGAAAGAACAGUCUCGCCAAAAGAAGAGCCGCUGUUACCAGCACCCUUUCCCCACGAAAAGUCAAUUCCCAGGUGCUUACUGGACAGCCUUCGAGGGGAAAGAUGAGGGGAGCUGCCAGCUCAGCCUUCCAGGGCCCUCGUGUGGGGGUCGAAACUCAUGGACCUGACCUCAGAGGUGCACCAGUUCUGCCCAGCUGCACUGGGGCGCCCAGAUCUUGUAGCAUUUUCAUGUGUGCCACGAGUGUCAAGACCUUUUCUUCGGAGUACAGGGGUGAGGAUGGACAGUCCCCUGUCAGCUUCCUAGGACUAAGAAGCCCAGUGGAAAAUUACAAGUAUUUCCUGCCCCUUGAGCCUCUGGGACAGGGCAGCCAGUGAGCACGGGCAUCGGUGCUUUUGACUCACUCCUUUUACAGCCUGCUAGGCCUGUCUUCUGUAUCUUGUAACUUUUUGAACUUAAAAGAAGAAAAAAAUUAGAUGAUUAUGUUCGAAGAGCUUCAAGGACAAAACAAUGUAACAUUUGGCCAGUUUAUUAUUCACUCCCCUCCCCCGUGAGUCCCCAUUUCUGAGACAUCAACUAUUCAAAUUAUGCCCCUUCCUUGUAAAUAUUGGGUUGUCAGAAGAAUCACGAUGCAUUUGUGUAUACAAAAACAUAGAAAAAUUUGUUGUGUUGUGACUUUUCUGACAACCCGACCCGAUUCAUCAGUGCAUUUCCUUAGGUCUAGGACAUUUGUAUGAUCCUCAUAUAAUGAACAGAAAGUGUGUAACUUUUUUUUCCUAGUCGGCAUACCUGUGUCAGUUUUGCCAACUGUCCAGUGUCUCUGAAUUUAUUUGUAUUGUGAUGUAAUUAACAUAUAAUGCAUUAGUUUCAGGUACACAAUUUGUAUAUGUUGUGAAAUGAUCAGCACAAUAUGUCCAGUUAAUGUCUGUUAUCACAUAUAGCUGUAAGAUUUUUUUCCCCCUGGUCAUGGUUUUUUAUGCAAUGCUGAUUGUCAAAUCUAGGGCUUUCUACAUGAAUGACACUAAGUCACUUUUCUAACUGAAUUUUUAUUGUGUAUUUUGUGAGCAAAAGAAGAAAAGUGAAAAGACUGUUCACCACGCAUGAAACUCCAUUCGUCUCUGUCCUUGGUGCUCUUACAGUGUCAGGGCUCUAACGUAGGGCCUCACGCAUGUCACCUCCCAGGCUUCUUUCUAAACGUUCAUUAUUUUUUAGUGUGCAUCCAGGGAAUGAACUCAGGGCCUUGUGCAUGGACAGCACUGCUGAGUAGCAUCCCCAGCCCAGAUUUCUAUUCAACUUUUAAAGAGAAAGGGUAGAAAAGGGGUGAGAGAAAAAGAAACACCACAGUACUGCUCCACCAUCCAUGGAGCCCACUCAGUGCCGUCUCUGGCAUACACAUAUGGUGAUGGGGCUUGAACCCAGGGCCUCAUGCUCUCUACUAGGUGAGCUAUCUCCCAGCCCCCAAUAAUACUUCUUAAAGCAGUUUUCUUUUUCUCUAGGAUCCAAUCCAAGGUUAUGUACUUUUAGUUCUUUUAAUCUGGAAUAAUUCCUUAGCUUUCUUUUUUGUGUCUUUCAUGCUCUUCAUGCUUUAUGCUGUAGAAUGCCCUGCAAGUUGAUUCCUUUAAUAGGGGUUUACAAUGAGCUAGGGUGGUCAGGGAAAUAACUCAAACAGUAGAGCAUCAGUCUUCCAUGCCUGAGGUUUCCAGUUCAAACCCCGGUGCCGCAUGUACAAGAAUGGUGUAGUGCUGGCUUGUCUCUCCUUUCUCUGUCUCAUGUGAAGCACUCUUACAUGUAAUAAAUAAGUCUUAAAAAUAAACUGUAUUAGGAA
Molecule: RNA transcript, 3576 nt
Organism: Erinaceus europaeus (western European hedgehog)
Lineage: Eukaryota; Metazoa; Chordata; Mammalia; Eulipotyphla; Erinaceidae
Gene: NCBP3
Gene name: nuclear cap binding subunit 3
Exons: 16
Source: RefSeq, a predicted model, not a curated record